Molecule: ribosomal RNA, 464 nt
Filed under: uncultured bacterium
Lineage: Bacteria
Description: partial 16S ribosomal RNA
Rfam family: Bacterial small subunit ribosomal RNA
Source: RNAcentral
CUACGGGGCGCAGCAGUAAGGAAUAUUGGUCAAUGGGCGAAAGCCUGAACCAGCCAUGCCGCGUGAGUGAAGACGGCCUUCGGGUUGUAAAACUCUUUUCUAAGGGAAGAACCAGCAGGACAGGAAAUGGUCCCGCUCUGACGGUACCUUAGGAAUAAGGAACGGCUAACUGCGUGCCAGCAGCCGCGGUAAUACGGAGGUUCCAAGCGUUGUUCGGAUUUACUGGGCGUAAAGGGAGCGCAGGCGGAAGGGUCAGUCUGAAGUGGAAUCCCGGGGCUCAACCUCGGACGUGCUUUGGAUACUGCCCUUCUUGAGUCCGUGAGAGGAAAGCGGAAUUCAGGGUGUAGCGGUGAAAUGCUUAGAUAUCCUGAGGAACACCAAUGGCGAAAGCAGCUUUCUGGCACGUGACUGACGCUGAGGCUCGAAAGCGUGGGGAGCGAACGGGAUUAGAUACCCGCGUAGUC